RNAcentral lists this long non-coding RNA (270 nucleotides) under Phoenix dactylifera (date palm). RNAcentral describes it as "long non-coding RNA (PDAC_LNC009078)". The record is from RNAcentral. Lineage: Eukaryota; Viridiplantae; Streptophyta; Magnoliopsida; Arecales; Arecaceae.
GGAUCGGGAACUGGAUCUGGAACUGGAUCUGGUGCCGGAUCUGGUACUGAUGGAUCUGGUGCUAUGCGAGGCCCGGAUGUACGGACCCUCUACUUUACACGCACGCUAAGAAAUGCAGGAAGGUAGGAUGAUGUCUGUAUAGUGCAAAAACCCUUUUGCAAAUAAACCCCUGGAAGAAAAGAAUUUCAAAAAUUCCUUCUUCCCUUUUCUUUUUCUUUCUUUUCCUCUUUCUUCCCGUUUCCUUUUUCUCUCUUUUACAGGCUACUCAAA